UACCGUAGCACUCUUAAGCCUAAAAAUGUGGAGGCUUUAGUUUGCACGCGUGAUUGGUUAUAUGGUAUCAAAGAUGACAUGCAACCAAAAUUAGAUGAGCUUUCCAAGGAUAUCAUGCAAUUAGAUAUUGGAGAAUCUAUGCCAACACAAGUAUGAAUCUCUCAUACUAUGAUGCGGUAGCUGAAGGCCACAUUUGAUUGCCUCAUGAAGACUUAUGUGUUCCAGACACCAGACUGCAAAGAGUACAUGAAUAUACUGCAAAGAGUUAAAGAAGAGAGGGAACUAAAAUAAAUAAGGAAAAGAAGGAUAACUACAUGCUACAUUAUUGUAUAAUGUCUACAUAUGUUUUCCUUUACUGCUCUUCAUUGCUUAUUGCGGUAGGAAACCCCCUCUACCAAUAUUUCCAGGUCCUUGUGAAGACAUUUUUCCUUGCGACAUGAUUUGGGACUGUCCAGGGCCUUGAACAAAU
Asparagus officinalis (garden asparagus) is the source of this 469-nucleotide long non-coding RNA. RefSeq lists it as uncharacterized. NCBI's taxonomy places the organism in Eukaryota, Viridiplantae, Streptophyta, Magnoliopsida, Asparagales, Asparagaceae. The record is from RefSeq and is a predicted model, not a curated record. The transcript is spliced from 3 exons.